UACAGAGGUCUCAAGCGUUGUUCGGAUUUAUUGGGCGUAAAGAGCGUGUAGGCGGCCAGGUAGGUCUGCUGUGAAAACUCGAGGCUCAACCUCGAGACGUCGGCGGAAACCAUCUGGCUAGAGUCCGGAAGAGGAGAGUGGAAUUCCUGGUGUAGCGGUGAAAUGCGCAGAUAUCAGGAAGAACACCCGUGGCGACGGCGGCUCUCUGGGACGGUACUGACGCUGAGACGCGAAAGCGUGGGGAGCGAACAGG
RNAcentral lists this ribosomal RNA (253 nucleotides) under uncultured bacterium. RNAcentral's name for it is "partial 16S ribosomal RNA". It matches the Rfam family "Bacterial small subunit ribosomal RNA", at positions 524 to 776 of the family's 1533-position model. The record is from RNAcentral.